GAACAUUUCAUGAGGGUGUGCGCAUGCGUGUUGGGUAAAAAAGGGGCCGUUUUUCGGGGGAAGUACGAAGAAGUACAGACUAAUGCAACAGCUUGAAUUUACGGAAAAAGUUGAAACCCAUUGUUGGUCGAUUCUCUAUAGGCGGGGUGGAACUGGCUGCUGGCAACCGAUUGACCAAUCAGCAUCUUCGCGUCAUCCAAUCACGUCAACUGUUGGCACUUGGUAAGGGCGCCGAGCUUCGAAACCUUUGAGAAAACGCAGUGGUGAACGAGGAAGUUUCGCACAUUAAUUCGUGAUGGACACACUUUGUGAGAACAUGGAAGAGAAGGAGAAAGUGAGCAAGGAGCUGCUCAGAAUGAUGACAGGAGGCAAGGCCAGCAACAUGCUCAAGCAAAACCUAGCCAAGCAGGAACAGGUGAUUGACAAACUACUGGAUACCCAAAAGAGCACAAAACAGCUGAUUAAAGAGCUGAUGACUGUUGAAGAGGAAGUGGCCCAGAAGCUUUUUGACCGGGAGGAGGAGCUGAAGGUAAGCCUCCAAAAACUGCAGAAAAUUGAAGAUCAAUUACUUCAGGCAAAUGAGGAAGACACCCGACUGAAGAUCAGCACCGAAUAUCCUUCCAUGUCUACAUUGAAAUGUUUCCUGGUGGACAUACUGGCCCUUUCUGCACUAGGCCUUAUUCCAGAUUAUAUCUCAGAGUAG
RNAcentral lists this long non-coding RNA (703 nucleotides) under Salvator merianae (Argentine black and white tegu). RNAcentral describes it as "lncRNA (ENSSMRG00000016812.1)". Lineage: Eukaryota; Metazoa; Chordata; Lepidosauria; Squamata; Teiidae. The record is from RNAcentral.